Molecule: ribosomal RNA, 429 nt
Filed under: uncultured prokaryote
Also listed under: 1 other name
Description: bacterial SSU rRNA
Rfam family: Bacterial small subunit ribosomal RNA
Source: RNAcentral
UGGGGAAUUUUGGACAAUGGGGGAAACCCUGAUCCAGCCAUCCCGCGUGUGCGAUGAAGGCCUUCGGGUUGUAAAGCACUUUUGGCAGGGAAGAAACGGCGCCGGAUAAUACCUGGCGCAACUGGCGGUACCUGCAGAAUAAGCACCGGCUAACUACGUGCCAGCAGCCGCGGUAAUACGUAGGGUGCAAGCGUUAAUCGGAAUUACUGGGAGUAAAGCGUGCGCAGGCGGUUCGGAAAGAAAGAUGUGAAAUCCCAGAGCUUAACUUUGGAACUGCAUUUUUAACUGCCGAGCUAGAGUAUGUCAGAGGGGGGUAGAAUUCAACGUGUAGCAGUGAAAUGCGUAGAGAUGUGGAGGAAUACCGAUGGCGAAGGCAGCCCCCUGGGAUAAUACUGACGCUCAUGCACGAAAGCGUGGGGAGCAAACAGG